GAUUGUGAGUGCAUUGGUUGCUUAUCCUUGUGAUCUCAGGGCUGUCUGGGAGCCAGGACUUCCUGCGUCUGCUCAGCAUCCCUGUAGUGUCACACGGCAUAUCGCUAGCCCAGAAAAAAAUAAAAAUUCCAGGUGGGUAUCACUCUCACACCAAGGUAAAAUCCAAAAACCGUAAGUGGAAGCAUGGGAAGUCGGGUCAUCUGUAUAUGGAAGCUAGUUUAAAUUCUUGUGAAGAUUUGGCGCAACUGUAAAAGGUUAUUAUACUUUGCUUCUACCCUCAGGUCCAUGCGGGAAUGGGGCUGCCUGAUCAGUAUAGACCAUCUGAUGCCUCUUGCCUGAAAAGAUGUUUCUCUAUCAGUCAGAAUGAACCCAGUUGUACUGCAUGCUGGUCUACAUGUGAUUUCUUGUGGGAGAGACUGGCUCUCUGUUCACCACAUCCAUGGCCUCUUUUUCUCUGGACACACAGGUGAAAACAUUUCCCAGCCUCCCUUGUGCAUAGAUAGUUGUGGCCACAGAAGAUACAGGCACCGUUUCCAGGCCUGCCCCUUAGAAACCUCCCAUGGUUGCUCUUCCUUCCUGUUCCUGACUGGAUGCCAAAGCCCAGAGGAUCCUGGGAGCCAGGAUUGAAGACAGCACUCCCCCACCCCCCAAUCCACCCCCAUCCCCCUUUCCCCGCGUUCAACUUGGGUCCCUGAAGAACUGCACAGAGCAGAGCCCAGCAUCCCCUACCCAGAAGCAUCCACAGGGGUCUCUUGUAGGAGAGACAUAAACAUUUAUUAUAGUACCUGAUGUGACCCCAACAAAUACACUCCCACUUUACAAAGGAGAUUAAGGAACUUGCCGAAGAGCUGCCUGUUUG
RNAcentral lists this long non-coding RNA (859 nucleotides) under Camelus dromedarius (Arabian camel). Its description in RNAcentral is "lncRNA (ENSCDRG00005002509.1)". Lineage: Eukaryota; Metazoa; Chordata; Mammalia; Artiodactyla; Camelidae. The record is from RNAcentral.